UGCGCUUCAUGGAUGGCCGAGUCAUUAUUCAUGACCAAAUCUGGAUCGGCGACCGGGCCUUAUACCGGAAUGACAGGGUGCUUCCCUCUGCGCUUCAUGGAUGGCCGAGUCAUUAUUCAUGACCAAAUCCGGAUCGGCGACCGGGCCUUAUACCGGAAUGACAGGGUGCUUCCUCUGCGCUUCAUGGAUGGCCGAGUCAUUAUUCAUGACCAAAUCCGGAUCGGCGACCGGGCCUUAUACCGGAAUGACAGGGUGCUUCCUCUGACCUGGGGAACAACAUUUGGCUAGAUAGUGUCAUCAGCGGCAUUAGGGAUUGGUUACAGCCGUGAGGGUAUUGGCGGCGAGCCUUAUUGGCUCGGGUGGCGGUUAGGCAUUGGAAUAAUGUGUUGUGGUGUGUCGAAGGGCUAGGUGUGGCCAUCGCCUAUGCCUUCAAUUUUUGGGUAUUCCGUUAAAGGAAUCUGGCGGUCGUGUGUUCUGUCCG
This is a non-coding RNA of Podarcis lilfordi (Lilford's wall lizard), 481 nucleotides long. The record is from the annotation of a GenBank genome assembly. NCBI's taxonomy places the organism in Eukaryota, Metazoa, Chordata, Lepidosauria, Squamata, Lacertidae.